GUCCACCUAGCUCAGUGGGUAGAGCGUGAGACUCUGAAUCUCAGGGUUGUGGGUUCAAGUCCCAUGUUGGGCA
Molecule: non-coding RNA, 73 nt
Organism: Podarcis lilfordi (Lilford's wall lizard)
Lineage: Eukaryota; Metazoa; Chordata; Lepidosauria; Squamata; Lacertidae
Source: the annotation of a GenBank genome assembly